Molecule: long non-coding RNA, 820 nt
Organism: Myotis daubentonii (Daubenton's bat)
Lineage: Eukaryota; Metazoa; Chordata; Mammalia; Chiroptera; Vespertilionidae
Source: RefSeq, a predicted model, not a curated record
UUUUUUUUUUUUGUCUUUAGGUCAUUUAUUUCUGUUCUGAUUUUUAUUAUUUCCUUCCUUCUACUUACUGUGGGAUUUUCUUGUUGUUCUCUUUCUAGUUAUUUUAAUUGUAGGGUUAAAUAGUUUAUUGUUGAUUUUUCUUUUUUUGUUCGUUUGUUUUUUGAGGUAGGCCUGUAAUGCUAUGAACUUCCCUCUCAGGACUGCUUUUGCUGUGUCCCAGAGAUUUUGGGUUGUUGUGUGUUCAUUUUCAUUUGUUUCCAGGAAGUAAAAAUAUUUCUUCCUUUAGUAACACAUUUAUUGUUUAAUAACAUGUUAUUUAGUCUCCAUGUGUGUGUUUUUAAUUCAAAAUUUUUUUUGUUAAUUCUCACCUGAGGAUAUAUUUUCCAUUAUUAUGAUUAUUUAGAGAGAGUAGAAGGCAGGGAAGAGGAGGAGAGAGAGAGAGAGAGAAAGAUUGAUGUGAGAGAGCCACAACGAUUGGUUGCCUUUCACAUGUGCCCUGAUGAGGGCCAGGGAUUGAACCUGCAACCAAGGUAUGUGCCCUUGACUGGGAAUCAAACCUGCAGUUCAUGGACUGAUGUUCUAACCAUGAAACAACACUGGCCAAGGCUUGAAUAUUUUUAUUGUCUUUGAUUUAUAGUUUUAUGCCAUUGUUAUCCAAGAAAAUGCUUGAUAUGAUUUUAAUCUUGAAUAUGUUGAGUUAUUUCAUGUCCUGACAUGUGAUCUGUCUUUGAGAAUGUUCUAUAUGCACUUGAAAAAAAUGUAUAUUCUGCCGCUUUGGGAUGAAAUGUUCUGUAAAUAUCAAUUAAAUCAAUCUGAUCUA